CGAGGCUCGAUUCAAGACCAAGUUAGCCUACUUAAAGUCUAACUGCGAAAACAGGAUAAGGAGCUACAUGAGAGACGUAAAGCCAAAACAGCUAUUUUUAGGUCAGGGGGUGCACUCUCGCAGUAAGAGUUUCCUGUCUCUGUUAACAGCUGGAUGAAGCUACCAAAGCUGUGCAGAAGACUUAAGUUCGAGAAGAAUGUGUGCAGGCCUCAAAGAGCUCAAGUGUGACAAAUACAACGGCUGCUACUUUGACCGCUCUCAAAAAGAGAAGCACCGCAUCUGGACAAGAAAAGGAUGGUUUACCUGCCAGGGCUCCUUUGCCCAGCCCAAGUGUGCUUGGCUCCACUCCAUCAAUCCCUACAGCAGCAGAGAGAGUCGCAUCAUGUUCAGCACUUGAAUCUGGACCACAGGUUUUACAUUCCGAAACAAUCUAUAAAAUAAUGUCUACUUCUGUUUACCAAGGAUUAAAAAGAAGAGGACAAUCAUUCCCACUCCUAUGGGUGCGCUUCAGAACCACAAAAGUCACUUGUGACAACCUGAAGCUGGUCCACAUCGUGUGCCACAAGAAAGAAGCACAAAACCUGCAGUGUGAGCCAAAGAAGAUCUUCAAAGCAGACAACGUACGGUCAAUGAGAGAGGCGCCCGCUCCAUCUGCCUCAAACCCACCGGCCACGAGAAGGCACGCGUCACGGUGGCUCUUGCAGCCAAAGUAGACGGGACAAAGCUGAAGCCUUACGUUGUGUUAAAAGGUGCUGUCCGUGAUGUAAAGGCUAUCCAGAGCAUCACCGGGGUGAUCAUAGCUUCCUCCAAGAAUGGCUGGUUUAAUGAUGACCUGACAAAGGAUUGGCUCCAGAGGGCAGUGGGGAAAUGUAUCUUCGGACCGAGGCUACUUGCAUGGGACUCGUACCGAUGCCAUAUCAGUGAGGCCACGAAGGCAUAGCUCAAAAGGGGCUACAACCUUACAAUGGCUGUUAUAUCUGGAGGUUGCACAAAGUACCUACAGGCCCCCGAUGUUGUGGGGAAUGGCCCUUUCAAAACGCAGCUCCGCGACUACUACGAUAACUGGAUGGCUGGUGAUAAAGACAAUACCUACACCAAGUCAGGGAACCUGAGAGCCCCUUCCCCCGCCUCCUGGUCGACUGGGUCCUGGGAGCCUGGGAUGCUCUGGAUCGGGGGACACUGAUCAACUCAUUCAAGGUGCAUGUCUUUGGAGGUGGGAGGAAGCCGGAGUACCCGGAGGGAACCCACGCAGUCACGGGGAGAACAUGCAAACUCCACACAGAAAGAUCACGAGCCCGGGAUUGAACCCAGGACUACUCAAGACCUUUGUAUUGUGAGGCAGAUGCACAAGCCCUUCUACCACCGUGAUGCCCACAUUUACUUUCAAUGAAUUGUAAUUUUGUGUCAAUUGCGACAAGGACCGCAGAGUCCAACAGGUCAGCUUUUAAUUCUGGUAUUUAGCCUUUCCUGUUUAUAUCUCCUGCGAAAGCAACGUUUUUGACUGAAGCGCCUUCUCUUUUGGUUUUGCAGCAACAAAGUAACCCCUCAUCCAUUAGUUAGAUGGAUAGCACUUUAUUGAUUCCUUCAAGAGAGUUCCCUCAGGAAAAUUAAAGUUUUAGUUUCAGGAUGUCGUUUCAGUUAUUAUUGUUCUCAACUACUACUACAGAGGAAACCAAAUAGCCAGACAAAGAGAGUUGUGCUUGUGUACUCUGGAAAAAAAAAUUCAAGACACCAUGUGAUGUAGUGGCCACGCACGGUCAUAAUUCAGGUUUAUGUGACAAUAACACAUUCCAGGACUUUCAAGAUCAAUUUCCAGUUUUUCCAGUACCCUUCAUAAGGCGAAAACCAGCGUGAAUCAAUCCAAACCCUUGUGGUUUGGAGGUCACCAAAUGCUUUUUCCAUUUUAUUAGAAAAUGGAUGGAUGAUUAGCCUAUUGAGUCAGACUGCUGAGAAAUAUGAUGAACAUUUCCAAGCAUUUAAAAGCACCACCCAUCCAUCCAUUUUCAAGGGUCGCGGGGGUCACUGGAUCCCAUCUCAGCUGCAUUCGGUAGGUAGGUGAGGUACACUCUGGACAAGUCGCCACCUCAUCGCAGGGCCAACACAGUUCACCCAAAAUUCAAGCAUUUUUCAAACCUUGAAAACACAACAUUAAAAUCCAAGCAUUUUCAAGGUUUUUAAGCACCCUGUAUGAACCCUGUUUAUGGCUCACAAUAACACAGCACAUGACUAACUAAACUACAACAAGAGGCAACAAGAGCGCCAGCUAGCCCGGGUGAGGAGUCAGUUAAGAAAGAACUAACUAGGACCAGGAUGAAAAGUUCCUGCACACAUAGUACUGUAUUUUUCGGACUAUAAGUCGCAGUUGUUUUCAUUGUUUGGCCGGGGAUGCGACAUGUACUCCAGAGCGACUUAUGUGUGAAAUUAUUAACACAUUACCGUAAAAUAUCAAAUGAUAUUAUUUAUCUCAUUCGCGGAAGAGACAGAGAAAAUAUCAGCAAUCGUCACACACACGUCAACCAAUAAGAAUUCGGCGGGGGAGGGUCAUGGCAGAAGUGCAUUGUGGGUCAUGGGAUGCUAACUGCUAUAUGCUAUAAGUUACUGCCGUAGCUAUUAAAAUGAAUCAUUUCAUCGUUGGUGGUAACUUAUAAAAACUGAGAUGGGCUGAACAAAAAUUGGACCGAAAAGAAAAUCAUGUACUGCAGAUUACAAGCUGGACGUAGUGAAAUAUGCAGCAGAAAACGACAAGAGGAAGCGGCGCAUACCUUUGGAGUUGGCAGAGUUGUUUAGAAGCCACCUCGAGGAAGAAGAUUUCAUCGGAUUUAUCGAUUAGGAGUGACAGAUUGUUUGGUAAACGUAUAGCAUGUUCUAUAUGUUAUAGUUAUUUGAAUGACUCUUACCAUAAUAUGUUAGGUUAACAUACCAGGCACCUUCUAAGGUGGUUAUUUAUGAGUCAUAUAACGUACACUUAU
Nerophis ophidion (straightnose pipefish) is the source of this 2969-nucleotide long non-coding RNA. RefSeq lists it as uncharacterized. The record is from RefSeq and is a predicted model, not a curated record. The transcript is spliced from 3 exons. NCBI's taxonomy places the organism in Eukaryota, Metazoa, Chordata, Actinopteri, Syngnathiformes, Syngnathidae.